CUGGGCUUUCUUUGUAAUGAGCUCCAUUGAAUCAAUGCUGCAAAGCUCUCUAUCUUAUAGUGCAAUACGGAACGCGGCGUUGUACACAUAUGGUUUAGUUUUUUCCCUCUAAUUCUUGCGAGCUAGGCAGUUUUGAGUUGGGAAAGGCGUAUUUAUAAGAAUUUGACUCCUUCCACAUUCUAAGGCUUGCAGUGGUGUAGGGUGUUUGGGGAGAUCUGUCUGGGCAGAGGGAUUAAACGAAAUGUCGGGCAAAAGCACUGUUAAGAGAACUCUGAGGAAGCGCUUCCAUCCUUAAGACGGAGUUAAAAAUGCUUUGGAAAACCGCGGUUGCUCUCGCGGAAAGCAGGCGAAGCGCCGAGAGAUCGAUUGCCAUAGCAAGCAGAUCGAAAAUUAGAGCUAAGAUCCCGUGUGACACAAGCAAACAAAUAAACAAACAAACAAACAAAACCAGUAAAAAAUAGAUGAAUAGCAAUGAAAGGAAAAUAAAGAGAGAGAGAAGGGACGCGUAAAGCUGCUGGUAACAGAGGGUGAGUGCGAUGCCGGGGGGGAGCUCCGGGGCGCGCAGCAGGCGGGGGCUGCUUAACAGGGGGCGGGCAGGGGGCAGGCAGCGCCGCGGGGCGGGGGGCAAGGUGCCAGGCAGCCCCCCCGCCGCCGCCGCCCUCAGGUGCCAGCGCCCGCGGGCUGCUCCCCGCCCGGGAAGCAGGGUCUGGGGGCAGCCGACCCCAGGCGGUGCCGCCGGGACCCCGCUAGGCUCCCCCCACGCUGCUCUCGCAGGAGCCUGGAGCCCGCAGCGGGGGCUCGCCCGCCUCUCGGCCCCGCGUGUGUGUGUGCGUGGGAGCGUCCUCCGUGUGUGCGUGUGUGCCGGGGGCUGCUCUGUCCGUGCGCGGUUGCUGCUUGAAGGCAUCCCGGCAGCACUGUCCCCGGUGUCCCCACGAGCCGCUGGCCAGGCAGAGGGCUCCGCGGGGAGGCUCCGAAAUGCAGUCAGGUCUGCAAUCAGCGCCCGCGAAGAAGCGACGCCUGGAGCUGGAGGAACUCCGGGGCCACUUUGA
Molecule: long non-coding RNA, 1049 nt
Filed under: Anas platyrhynchos platyrhynchos (common mallard)
Lineage: Eukaryota; Metazoa; Chordata; Aves; Anseriformes; Anatidae
Description: lncRNA (ENSAPLG00000019010.1)
Source: RNAcentral